This 809-nucleotide long non-coding RNA is filed under the name Rattus norvegicus (Norway rat). Its description in RNAcentral is "long non-coding RNA NONRATT014013". The record is from RNAcentral. Lineage: Eukaryota; Metazoa; Chordata; Mammalia; Rodentia; Muridae.
CCUCCAAGAAUGAGCUUCAGCUGCUUCACACUGGUUUAAGGAGUCACUGGUGUUGGGUCUAGUAGAGGAGAAUUUUUUGUGUAGUUUAGUCUCAGAAUAGUAAUGAUACACUGUUUUUCUUAGGCAUUCACGGAAGCGCUGGGAAAACUUUAUCCAUAGUGAGAACAGACACCUUGUCAGCCCCGAGGCCCUUGAUCUUCUUGACAAGCUCCUGCGGUACGACCAUCAACAGAGAUUGACCGCCAAAGAGGCCAUGGAGCACCCGUACUUCUACCCGGUGGUGAAGGAGCAGUCCCAGCCUUGUGCUGAGAACACCGUGCUUUCCAGUGGUCUCACCGCAGCACGAUGAAGCCUGGGGAAUCGACGGUCUGUUGCGGUUCCUCCCACUUUUCCAUAAGCAGAACAAGAACCAAAUCAAAACGUCUUAACGCGUGUAGCGAGAUCACGUCCCGAGAGCAGACACAAAAUGGUGGCAGGCUUGGCGAACAGGAACUAGACCACCCGAAGGGCAGCCCACCACCGUAAAUCAGACCUCACUUCCGAAUGUAAAAGGUUCACAUGCCUUUGGCUUCCUGUUGACUUCCUCCUGACCCAGAAAGCAUGGGAAAUGUGAAGGGUAUGCAAAAAUGGUUGUUGGUUACUGUUGCUCUCCGUGCCCUCGACCCAUCCCGUGGCUGCCUGUUGCUCCAGCAAACCCCAAGGACUAGCUGACCACAGACCACAAAUGGGAUGGGGGCAGUGUAUGGCAUGGUGGGCAGUUACAUAUUAUUUUAAAAGUAUAUAUAUUAUUGAAUAAAACGUUUUAAAAG